AGAAAGGUGAAUUUAGAGAAGUGAUCUACGACGACAAAAAUCCAAGCUUGUCCCCUUUUCGACCGAGGAUACUUCCCCAGGAAAUCGAUGUAUAAUUUCUGGAAUGGCCUCUCCGUUACGACUUCCUGACCGAUCCCUACCUGGCUUCGAUAAUUGGGUGCUUUGGACUCCUUACAAGCAUCGCAGUUCCGGACAUACUCCCGCACUUGUGUCGUCAUCGCUGGCCAGUAGAAUUGCCUUCUUAGCCGAUGCAAGGUCUUUUUAAGUCCACCGUGUCCAGCUGUGUGGUCUUCGUGGGCCUUGGAGAUGAGAGUUUCCGUCAGAGACGCGGGAAUCCAUAAUUUCCAAAUGGUCCCUUCCACUUGGUCGUCCAUUUGCGUGAAAGCCAUCCGCUUGAAUAUCACAUCCCCUUCCACUCGUAGGUCAGGCAACAUGUCUUGAUUCUUGCCGAUUUCUUCUUUCAGCUCCUGAUAUUCUGAAGACUCAAACUCUGUCGUCUGGAAUCCGAGGAUCUCCGUUGGAUCUAUCACCACUUCGUCGAUGCAGCGUGAGAGUGUAUCCGCCACGACGUUGUCGACUCCUUUCCGGUGUUCGAUCCCAAAGUCAAACCUCUGCAGUCGCAAUGACCACCUCGCAAGACGUCCGUUUAGAUCCUUCAAUGACAUGAGCCAUUUCAGGCUGGCGUGAUCCGUAAUAACCGUGAAGGGCAUCAAUUCAACGUACGGUCUGAAUUUUUCAAUGGCCAACACCGCAGCUAAACACUCUUUUUCCGUUACAGAAUAAUUUAGCUGAUGCUUGUUUAACUUGGCGGAGAAGAAUGCCACCGGACGCUCGGCUCCUUCGACGUCCAACUGAAACAACACCGCUCCCACUCCGUAAUUCGAUGCGUCGCACUGUACAUAGAAAGGCUUCUUGAAAUCAGCAUGACUUAAUACCGGAGCCGUGGUGAGUGCCUUCUUCAGGAAUCCUAUCGCCGUCUCGGCCUCCGUGGACAGGGAAAACUUUCCACGCGGAUGCUUCUUCAGCGCGUCUGUUAGCGGCACAGCAAUGGAAGCGUAAUCCUUGAUGAAGCGCCUAUACCAUCCUGCGGUUCCUAGGAAGCUUCUUAGUUCCUUCACUGAACUCGGAUUGGGAAUCCUUUGAAUGGCCAAAACUCUUUCAGGAUCCAUCUGCAACGUGCCACCUCCGAUGAUAAAUCCCAGGUAUUUCAGUGACCUAAAGCAAAAUUUUGAUUUUUUCAAGCCUAUUGUUAAAUUUGCUUUUCGUAAGCACUGGGCCACCAACCGAAGGUACCGGAGAUGCGUCUGGAAAUCGGGAGCUAUCACCAAGAGAUCAUCUAGAUAGACGAAAACGUUUGAUCUCAACUGCGUCGGGAUCACUUUGUCCAUCACUCGGCAUAGCCUCUGUGCAGCAUUACACAGACCGAAGGGCAUCAUCACAAAUUGGUACAGCGGACGACCUGGAACGGUGAAAGCGGUACAUUUCCUGCUUUCUGGAUCCAACUUGAUUUGCCAGAACGCGAAUUUAAGGUCCACACUUGAAAUGUAAUGCGUCUGGUCGAUCCUGGACAGUAUUCCCUCGAUGUUAGGAAGAGGGUAAGCGUCUUUGACGGUGAGUUGGUUCAGCUUUCGGGCGUCUAAACAAAAUCUGUUUUUGUUAGGUUUCCGCACUACCGUCGUCCUAUUGCUCCACGGACUAUCGCUAACCUCUAUCACUCCUAGUUCCAGCAUCUUGUCCACUUCGGUCCAGACCACUUCCUGCAUCGCUGGGGAUUGAGGGUAGUGUCGAUCCUUAAACGGCUCCGCGCCCUCUACCAACUGGAUCUGGUGCUCCUCUACAGUCGUUGACCCUAGUCCGGCAUCUUCGUAAGUCAGGAACUCCCCCUUUACCUUCUCCAGUUCUUCAGCUUCCUUCUCUUCCAGGUUCCACGCGUCCACAUGUACGUUCUCCUGGUGGUCUUCGACAUAUUGACUGAUCUGUGACAUCUGGACUUCGGAUAUUUUGGCAUCGCUUGUCGAACUUGGAUACGGACCGAGGACUGUGGGAGCCAACUCGAACGACCUCCAAAAAUCGACCCCCAAGUACAUGACUUGCUCCAGGUAUGGAGAGAUGUAAAAGAGAAUGGGAUUCUCGCCUUGCCGAUUAUGGUCCUGUCCUCUCCUGCGGCGGUUUUGACGAUCGAGAUAUAGUUGUCCAUCUCCACCCCGAGGUCGUCUAGGAGCUCACGACUGCCCUUUCCGAGGACACUUACGGAUGCUCCAGUAUCCAGGAGUCCGGAAAUCUUCCGUCCUAGGAUUUGCACCUCGGCAAAAACCCUUGGGUCACGUCCUGCUCCACGCCUGACUGCUUCCGCCACCUCCUUGCGAGUCUGUCUCCUUUGCCGGAAGCGUGCACGGGCCCUCUGGAGUCUACGGCUGACACCUCGCAUUCCAUUCAGCUGAUGUCCGUCAAAGAUCCGAUUUCGGGCUUGUUUAUACUUCCUCAUCCUCUCUUCGACCGGUAAGAAUUUUAAACUAUUUUUUUCUAUACUACUUGGGUUAAUAUGCUUAAUUUUUACAACCUCCAAUAGCGCUUCCUUCACUUCCUCGCGGGCUUCCGUCCCGAGCUCUGAUAUCCCGCCUUCAUCAUGCCCGUUCUUGAGU
Molecule: long non-coding RNA, 2642 nt
Filed under: Drosophila guanche
Lineage: Eukaryota; Metazoa; Arthropoda; Insecta; Diptera; Drosophilidae
Source: RNAcentral